AUGAAGAACAAUUAUGGAUUUUGGCUCAAUAGGGGUGCAAUUGGAUAAACUUCUUUUAACAUUUGGAUAACGAAAAAAUGGCCACACUUCACUCUGAAUAUUGUUUGCCUGACUUUCUCUCGACUUUAAACCUGAAACAAAACUCUGCAGUGUUUGACACAUCGACUUCAUUUUUCCUUUCUUUGUUUCCUUUGUUUUGUUUUAUAU
This 207-nucleotide long non-coding RNA is filed under the name Vigna radiata. RNAcentral describes it as "long non-coding RNA (VRAD_LNC001740)". Lineage: Eukaryota; Viridiplantae; Streptophyta; Magnoliopsida; Fabales; Fabaceae. The record is from RNAcentral.